Molecule: long non-coding RNA, 2383 nt
Filed under: Pongo abelii (Sumatran orangutan)
Lineage: Eukaryota; Metazoa; Chordata; Mammalia; Primates; Hominidae
Description: lncRNA (ENSPPYG00000040984.1)
Source: RNAcentral
GCUAGAAAGGAAGAAAAGCUCUAAAGUGGAAUCGCCUUCCCCCGGAAGCUGUUGUAAACAUUAAAGGAUGUAUAUUCUCUACUGGCAGGACAUCAGUCCCAGCUUUGGAGUGAAUAGUCUAAGGAAGCCACUGGUAGAUACUAUGAUUGGCAGUGAAGAUUCCUAUAGAACGGAAAGUAUGUUAUCUGGAAACAGAAGACAAAUGAAUUUUUAAAAAUGAUCUUGGAAAAACAUCUGGAUGGAGGCCCAAAAUAAUAAAUCCCUACUAUAAUUGUUUUAGAACUUCAAAAAAAGAAGUCCAGAUACACUGACAAUCUUAGUUACUAUUCAAAUAUUGAUAAGUCAUUGAAAAAUAACUCAGAUUUACUUGUCUACCGAAACGUGCAAAACCAUGGGACAUACUUUAAAAGUAUGUCCCAUACUGACUUAAAGCCAGUUUCUAGACUUUUUGGUCAACCUAUUGACUUUUAGAAAUUCAGAGAGUAGGCUAGGCGUGAUGGCUCAUGCCUUUAGUUCCAGCACUUUGGGAGGCUGCGGCAGGCAGAUCACUUGAGGUCAGGAGUUUGAGACCAGCCUGGCCAACAUGGUGAAACCCCAUCUCUACUAAAAAUACAAAAAAUUAGCUGAGUGUGGUGGUACGUGCUUGUAAUCCCACCUACUUGGGAGGCUGAGGCAGGAGAAUCGCUUGAGCCUGGGAGGCAAAGGUUGCAGUGAGCUGAGAUCAAGCCACUGCACUCACUCCAGCCUGGACGAUAAGAGCGAAACUGCACCUCAAAAAAAAAAAAAAAAAAAAGAAUCCAGAGAGCUUUUGUACACAGGGAUGACAUAUGUGGGCUGGAAGAAGGUUUAUGUCUAAUAUCUUAUCAGUUCAAAAUGAAACUCCCAAAUUCCUACAAAUGUGUUUAAUGAUAUAAUCCAGUUCUUCAAUUCUCUUGAGACUCUCCCUGCAGUUAUGUCUCUGAAAAAGGAAUUUAACAGGAGAAUAAACAAACCACUCACCAUCCUAUUUCUAAAUAUAAAGAUUCUUCCAACCAGCCUGAUCUUGCAACUCAGGGUUAAGACUGGGGAUGAAAUAUUUGGCUUUAAGAAAUAAGAGAUGGCCUAAAUGGAUAUUUUGGAAAAAGUUAGCUAUUGAAGUGUUAUUUAAGGUAAGGGGGAAAAAAGGACAAACUCAUGCCUUCUGCAAUAUCCAUCCUAGUGGACAAUGAAUAGGGCUAUUGCUUUCUUUCCAAUACUCUGGGCCCACAUUUCAUCAUACUAAAAAGACAUAAUUAGUUUUCUUACCCAUGUCAAUGGAUAUUAGAUAUAACACAAGGAAAAUGAAAUUUGCUUCUAGACUCAAAAUCUGUUGACACUUAAAGUAUAAUUAUACUUUUUUAUUAAACUGUUAGAAUCAUCUAUGGAGAAAAAUGAGUUUUAGCUUCCAAUAAAGCUCUGCUCUUAUUAGAAAUCAUAUUGAGCAGUGAAACUACCAAUAUGGCAGUUGCUAUUCUAUUGUUUUAACAUGGCUCUACCUAUCCCAAUUGGAAUGUCUAAUUCAGAGACAUGAGUUAGAUUUUCAAAUUAAAUGAUUGUGAAUAGAGGUGAUUACAUUGAUGGCAUAUUCCCUAUUUAGGAAAUAUAAAAUACAUUCAUAAAGGCCUUACUUGGAUCAGGGGUACAGAUAUCAACUGGGAAUCUCUAAGGUAAUAAGUUUUCAUGAUGCGAUUUUAUUUUUUCAUUUUCCAAAUCUAAUUUUCAGUACUGAUAAUUGGACAAUUUUCAAGUAAGAGUCUGUUAAAUCCGUCAGUAAUAAAACUGAGUUUUAAGACUGAGGGCUGGGAAAGGAGACUUUAAAUAGCAAAGUCAGACAUAUCAAAAGAACUCAUUAUUCAAGAGUCCAGCUAUCUGCUGAAACUUCUGGGGGGCUAAUACUUGAAAAUCAAGGACUUUGUUUUUUCUAAGUUAAAAAUGGGGGAAAUGAAGUUAUAAUCUGCCAUUUCCACCUUACAUUUGGAAUUUAUUUAUUUUUUGAGACGGAGUCUUGUUCUGUUACCCAGGCUGGAGUGCAAUGGCGCGAUCUUGGCUCACUGCAACCUCCUGGGUUCAAGUCAUUCUCCUGCCUCAGCCUCCCAAGUAGCUGGGACUACAGGCAUGCACCACCAUGCCCGGCUAAUUUUAGUAUUUUUAGUAGAGACGGGGUUUCACCAUGUUGUCCAGGCUGACCUGAACUGAUCCGCCCACCUCAGCCUCCCAGAGUGCUGGGAUUACAGGCGUGAGCCACCGCGCCCGGCCACAUUUGAAAUCUCAAAUGGAGCAUAUGACACAUACUUUAUUCUUUUUUGUCUAUAUUUUCUUAAGGUAAAUGUGUUUUUUUUUUUUCUUUUUUCUUUUCUACAAACUA